Heterocephalus glaber (naked mole-rat) is the source of this 274-nucleotide non-coding RNA. The record is from RefSeq and is a predicted model, not a curated record. NCBI's taxonomy places the organism in Eukaryota, Metazoa, Chordata, Mammalia, Rodentia, Bathyergidae.
UAUAAAAUGUGGAAAUUUAUCCAUAUUUCCUCCUUUAAGGAACAAAAGGAGUUCUCCCCUGAGGACUUGAGUUUUUGAGUUUUCUCCAAAGACAGAGGUCCAGACAGUUGGAGAAAGCAGAAGACGCACACAUGAAGGAAUUGCCCUUAUCAGCUUAACAUCAGGAUAGUUGAGGAUCAUUUCACCAGAAAGACCAAGGAUCAGCAAGAUCAGAGGGUUGGAACUUCCAGUCUCACCCCUUCUCCUGCAAAGAAGAGGAAGAGCUGAAGGCUAG